This 2691-nucleotide long non-coding RNA is filed under the name Callithrix jacchus (white-tufted-ear marmoset). RNAcentral's name for it is "lncRNA (ENSCJAG00000070171.1)". The record is from RNAcentral. Lineage: Eukaryota; Metazoa; Chordata; Mammalia; Primates; Cebidae.
AUGCAUCGUUGCCUCGGUAACCGCGUCGCAAUUGCCGAAGAUGGCGGGGCGCGGUCUUGGUUUCAGAGUCGGUUCAACUCCAGGCUCCUGGGGAGGUCUGGGCUCUGGCGACUAGGACACCUAAGCUCCCUUAUCUUCAGGUCUGAAACUCUCUGCCUCUUUUACAGAGAAGCAGCGUUCCAGGGACUCAGCUCCCGCCACCACUUCAGCAACCCUCUGCACCCGGACACGACCUCCUCGCUUUGGAGGAAGAAUAUAACUCCUGGACCCCUCCAUCCUCACUUCCAUCGCUGUUUUCCUGAGCCUUCUCCCUCUGAAUUUCAUCAUCACCAAGAAGAGGAAUUAUCAACAGGUUCGGCUUUGGGGAAAGGGAUAGACCAGGCAGGAAGUAGGGAGGAAGACACAAGCCCUGGUGUGGGUGAUGGGGAGGGAAGAGCUGAGUGGGAGCCAGUGGGUCUGGCUCUGUUCUUGUCUCUGUGCGUUGCCCAUUGUGCAUACCUGCGCCACUCCUUCCCCAUCGCAAUGGAUGGUGGCUCCUUCCUCCAGUGUUCAGGCCCUAGGCCCUGGGUCAGAUCAAUGUAUUUUUCUCUUUAAUCCCAUCAGUCAGCAGAUUUGCUUGGCGUCACCUUGAAAAUGCAUCCAGCAGCAAGGCCCUGGCUCACUCCCUACUUCUGCCCCCAGCCUCUUUCCAUUCCCAGCCACAGGAGACCUGUGUAAGCAGAAUCCAUUGCACCUUCCUUUGCUCAGACCCACAGUGGCCCCAUUUUCCUCGGUCUGAGCCAUAGGCUCCACAGUGGCCCACCAGGCCCGUCCUGACCUGCCUCAAUUCCUCCAGCCUCAACUUCCACCCAUCUCCCUCCCUUCCCCACUGACCCCUUUUCCCCAUCCUCACAUCUGUCUGAUGUUCACACAUCUCUCCAAGCAUCUGCUUUAGCUGUUCCUUCUGCCUGGACCACCCUCACUCUAGAAGACCGUUGUCACCUCCAGCACCCCCUGCAGUCAGGGCAGCCUCCCUCACCAAUGUCUAGCAAGGAUAUGGCCUGCCCAUUUCUCUCCUCUCAGCAGCUCUCUUCCUUGGCUUGUCCUGGGUUCAUUUUUGCUUUUCCUCAGCACUUCGCUCUUCCUAAAGUUGUCCCAAUGUCCAUCUGUCACUUGGACUGUUUCUCCAGCCUCCUGCAUGGAAGCGCCUGGCAGGGGCUGAUGGCCUUACUCUCCUUAGACUGGAAGCUCCACAGCAGCACGGGCCACUCACUGUGGCAGACUCAGUAUCUAGUUAGUGCUCAGCAUCCAGAAGGUGCUGGAUAAGUGUUUGAGAACUUAAGAAAGGAGGGAAGGGAGAAGGGAAGGAGAGAGCAAGGGAAGAAGGAAGGGAGGGGAGAAAGGAGGGAGGGAAGGAAAGAUAGGAAAGGGGAGGACAGAUGGAGUGAAGGAUAGAGUUGAAAGAGGAAGAGAAGGAAUGAGGGAGGGAAUGAAGAAAGGGAGGAGAGAGAGAAGAAAGAAAGGGCAGGAGAGUGGAAGAAAGGAGUAGAGAAGAAAGAAAGGCGGGAGAGAGGGAGGGAGGGAAGGCAGAUGGAGGGAGGGAACUUAUUUCCUCUCUAGGCCCAGCUGUCCCAAUGUCCAUCUGUCACUUGGACUGUUUCUCCAGCCUCCUGCAUGGCCUCCUCCGGGCACAGUGGCUCAUGCCUGUAAUCCCAGCACUUUGGGAGGUGGAGGCAGGUGGAUCACCUGAGGUCAGUUCAAAACCAGCCUGGCCAACAUGGCAAAAUGCUAUCUCUAUUAAAAAGUAUAAAGAUUAGCUGAGCAUGGUGGCAGGCGCCUAUAAUCCCAGCUACUCCAGAAUCUCAGGUAGGAGAAUCACUUGAACACGGGAGGCAGAGGUUACAGUGAGCCGAGAUUGUGCCACUGCACUCCAGCCUGGUAACAGAGCAAGACUCCAUCUCAAAAAAAUAGCAAAAAACCUCCAGGUACCUGCUUUCUGAUGAUGUCCCCCUCCCCCGGUGAAGCACGGGAGACCCCAAACUCCUGCCUGACACUAAAGUGCCAAGUGACCCUGCCCACACUCUCUUCUGACCAUACUGAGUGUCCUCUGAGUCAUGCUGUUCCCUGUGCCUGGGUUUUUGCUGCCCCCUGUCUCAAAGCCUCCCCUUUCAAUUCUUAGCUCCAUCCCCCAAUCCUCUGCCUGCCCAGUACCCACUUCCUGGUCAUUUAACGUGUAGCUCAGGCUGUAAUCCCAGCCCUUUAGGAGGCUGAGGGCAGAGGAUCACUUGAGCCCAAGAGCUUGAGGCCAGCCCGGGCUACAUAUUGAGACCCUUCCCAACUCCACCAAAAAUGUAAAAGGAAGAAAAAAAGAUGUAGCUCAGGCAUUACCCACCUCCAGGUAGCCUUCCUGAUGGUGCCAUACCCAGGUGGGCUCAGGGGCACCCUCUGUUCUCCAGACAUCAGAAGCUGCCUCCCCAGGGCAAUUGUCCCAGGUCAGCUCCUGUAGGAGCCCAGGCACAGGAUAACGGUGGAUGGAUCAGGACUGAGGGUCAGAGAUGUGGAGAGGUAGACAGCUUUGGGACGCAGUUGGUGAGAUCAGUGGAAUUUGCUGCAGGGUGGCUGUUAGGGUGCAGGGGAGAAUUCUGGACCAGCCCUGUCUUCAUCUCUCUCUUCCCUCCAAUCCCAGGAGAGCAAAUGAGGCAGAAGGACUCG